GCAUUUAAUUCCAGUGGGUUGGAAGGAUGUAUUCUUCCAAACUUCUUUUCUCUGAGGAAUUGUCGAGAUCCUUCAUAUUUUUCUUAUGAGUUUUAUUCUGGAGCUUUCAUUUUGACAAUGUAUCUUUGAUUUCUAAAUCAUGGAAUUUCUUUAUCUUAGAUAUCUCUGUCUUGGACUUCUUUAUAUGGAUUUUUCUUACCAUAUUUAUUCUGUAAAUUAUUAAUCAUGGUUCGUACCUAAAGUGUAUCCUUU
This 252-nucleotide long non-coding RNA is filed under the name Gossypium barbadense (sea-island cotton). RNAcentral describes it as "long non-coding RNA (GBAR_LNC009124)". The record is from RNAcentral. Lineage: Eukaryota; Viridiplantae; Streptophyta; Magnoliopsida; Malvales; Malvaceae.